UACGUAGGCAGCGAGCGUUUGUUCGGAGUUACUGGGCGUAAAGAGUGUGUAGGCGGUUUUCUAAGUUUGGUGUGAAAUCUCCCGGCUUAACUGGGAGGGUGCGCCGAAAACUGGAAGGCUUGAGUAUGGGAGAGGUAAGCGGAAUUCCUGGUGUAGCGGUGAAAUGCGUAGAUAUCAGGAGGAACACCUGCGGUGUAGACGGCUUACUGGACCAUAACUGACGCUGAGGCACGAAAGCGUGGGUAGCAAACAGG
RNAcentral lists this ribosomal RNA (254 nucleotides) under uncultured bacterium. Its description in RNAcentral is "partial 16S ribosomal RNA". It matches the Rfam family "Bacterial small subunit ribosomal RNA", at positions 524 to 776 of the family's 1533-position model. The record is from RNAcentral.